CAGAGUCGGGGUCCUCGUGGCCCAAACUCCCAACCCUUUGUGAACCCGAACCUCGUUGCUUCGGGGGCGACCCCGCCGUUCCGGCGGCGGCGCCCCCGGUGGCCAUCAAAAACUCCUGCAUCUUUACGUCGGAGUACACAGUUAAUUAAACAAAACUUUCAACAACGGAUCUCUUGGUUCUGGCAUCGAUGAAGAACGCAGCGAAAUGCGAUAAGUAAUGUGAAUUGCAGAAUUCAGUGAAUCAUCGAAUCUUUGAACGCACAUUGCGCCCCGUGGUAUUCCGCGGGGCAUGCCUGUUCGAGCGUCAUUUCACCACUCAAGCCAGGCUUGGUAUUGGGCAUCGUGGUUCGCCGCGUGCCUCAAAGUCUGCGGCUGAGCCGUCCGUCUCCCAGCGUCGUGCAAAUCUCGCAGGUGGGCUCGGGCGGUCGCGGCCGUUAAAUCCUUUACAGGUUGACCUCGGAUCAGGUAGGGAUACCCGCUGAACUUAAGCAUA
This 493-nucleotide ribosomal RNA is filed under the name Dothideomycetes sp. RNAcentral describes it as "eukaryotic LSU rRNA". The stretch from base 154 to 307 matches the Rfam family "5.8S ribosomal RNA". Lineage: Eukaryota; Fungi; Ascomycota; Dothideomycetes. The record is from RNAcentral.